Long non-coding RNA from Cyprinus carpio (common carp), 1568 nucleotides. Lineage: Eukaryota; Metazoa; Chordata; Actinopteri; Cypriniformes; Cyprinidae. The record is from Ensembl.
CUUUAUCAGCACCUGACAUAUUCAAAGCAUUAAGAAAAAAACCUAACAAGGCUCAGUGUUUGGUUUGGAUAGGUAGAAGUAAUACAUUUGUACAGUAAAUGACACUGCAAAUAGCUUGUGGGUCCUUGUCAAACUUAUUGACCUUGUUCUUAUUGUAGUCAUGUGGGAUUUUGACUGCAAACAGGUUCAAUCUUGCAGUCAUCGCUCUGCAGCCGGAGUCAAUGAAGUGUCAAAGGCACACUUAUGAAGCUGCCACAACUGGCAUUACGGUCCUCCGGCUGAGCAGAAAUAAGACAUGACACACUGGCUAGUGCCCAGUACAGUAUGUAAGUCAAUCUCUCAUAACCCCUCUUGCUGAGCAGGUGCCAUGGCAUCCACCCGCAAUGCUGGAUAUGGUCCCCAUCCCCACCUUUCAGAUAUGGUGUCAAUAAUGCAAAAUGACAAUUAAAGCAGUUCAUCAUUGAAUUCAGUGAUGUUAUCAUUCAGCUCAGUUCAUUUAAAUAGUAUCUGUGCAAUCAAGUCAACGAUAUCACUGGAUAUUAAGUGUCCCCAACUAAGCAAGCCAGAGGUGACAGCAGCAAGGAAACAAAACUCCAUCAGUGACAGAAUGGAGAAGAAACCUUGGAAAAAACCAGGCUCAGUCGGGGGGCCAGUUCUCCUCUGGCCAGAUGAAACCAGCAGUUAAAUUCCAGGCUGCAGCAAAGUCACAUUGUGCAGAGGACUCAUCUGUUUCCUGUGGUCUUGUCCCGGUGGCCGUCUAGGAGACAAGGUCUUUACUGGGGAUUUGUCUCUGGGGCUCAUCUAGCUGUCCUGGACUCCGCUGACAUUCAGGGCUGUAUGGUCAUCUCUAGGUGCUGAUCCACCAUCUGGGCUGGAUAUGUACUGGAUCCGGGUGACUGCAGUGACCAUCAGAUCUUGAUACAGACUGGAUCUGGUGGCUACGGUGACCUCGGAAUAAGAAAGAAGAAGAGGUGUUAGCAAGGUGUCUUAAAUGGGGGCUAGGAUAUUGCUGCAUGGUUUCUGUGAUAACCUGUGUGAUUUUUAGCAAUAUUGUAGUACUUGAGUCGAGACUGGACUCGUUACUGAGACCAUCUUAAGUCGGAGUAGAGGACCAUACUUUCACGGUUUUGGUCUGGUCAUGGAGUUGGAAGCAUUUGGACUCAGUCUUGGUCCUGCACUGUUUAUUGUAAAAGUUCAUAUGACUGACACAAAACCAGUCUUCAUUCACUGCAAAGGAAAGCAUAUGUUCACUGAAUCGUUCAGACCCUGUUCAGGUCUCUGUCUUGACUUGGACAACCAGAUUUCAGCCUGGCCUCUAAUGAGCUGGUCUUGACAACACUUUUUAGCAUGUUGAUCUGCAUGCUAAGAUGAUUUGGGUGGUUUUUAACUCUCAGAUAUCUGGUGGCUGCAGGGUCCUAGGUGGUAGUUUUGCUAUUCUGUCCCAGGCCCCUUUUAAAUGUAAGUUUAAGGGAUUUUAUGUAAUUUUUACAGUCUGCCUGGUAAGAUUUUAUGUAAUUUUUACAGUCUGCCUGGUAAAAAAAAAAAAAAAAAAAAAAAAAAAAAAACUU